Long non-coding RNA from Syngnathus acus (greater pipefish), 362 nucleotides. RefSeq lists it as uncharacterized. The record is from RefSeq and is a predicted model, not a curated record. The transcript is spliced from 3 exons. Lineage: Eukaryota; Metazoa; Chordata; Actinopteri; Syngnathiformes; Syngnathidae.
UCUAAAUGUAUUAUUUAUUUAUAUGAAUGUAUUAUUUAUUUAUAUAAAGGCCGGUCCGCGAAAAAAAUCUGACACAUAACCGGUCUGUGGCGCAAAAUAGGUUGGGGACCACUGUCCUAAAGCACUUUUGGACAAGCCAGCUUCAUUUUCGAAAGCUGUGCUGUGGACUGAUGAAACAAAAAUUUAGUUAUUUGGACAUAACAAGGGGCGGUAUGCAUGGAGGAAGAAGAACACAGCAUUCCAUGACAAACACUUGCUACCCACAGUCAAAUUUGGUGGUGGUUCCAUCAUGCUGUGGGGCUGUGUGGCCAAUGCAGGUACUGGCAAUCUUGUUAAAGUUGAAGGUCACAUGGAUUCAAGUC